CGUCUCCCCAGUCAGUUCUAAGUGUUUACACCCGUCUUGUCUUUCCAUCUGUAUUUGUCAGGUUGCCCUGUUUGCCCUCCUGUUGGUUUCCCUUCUGUUCUCUGGCCUGAUUGAGUUUAGUUUUCUUUUGGAUUACCUUCUUUAUUUUUUGAUUUAUUCUUCCCUGGGUUACCAGCUGCCUUUUGUUCAUUCAUCUGUACCACCCCAACACUGAUCUUGGGUGCCCAGUUUGACUCAGUGGUGAUUGGGACUGUCUUCUGUGCUGUCAGGUGGAAGAUCUGUAUGAAGCUUCCCAGUUUUAGGAUUUGUCAGCGGAGGAACAUCCAUAUUUGAAGCAUCGUUCUCUGUAAUGGCUUUAAAUUUGUGUUCUACUCAUAUCACAAUCACCUUUAUUGGCCCAGCACGGGAACAUUUUCUCAUUUUCUUUCUUUCUCUUAACAAACUUACACACUUCAAAGUCUCCACUGCAUGUAUUAUAAAUCUGGACAGACAUGGAUAUAAACUGCAACUUGGGUGUUUGGUGGAAGCAUAAAACUGCAAGAUGGUAAUUCUAGUUUGUAUCACACAGUAGGUCCAACAUUUUUUUUUUUUUUGCCAGAUGGCAGAAAUUUGAUGAUGCACUGAUUGCUUUUGAGAGGGAGGAUGUAAAGCUCUGCUCUGAAAACAUGCAUCUGUGUGAUAUCACAAAAUCCUCUGCCUCAGAUACAAUCUGAGUGCACAUCUGGUCAUAAUCACAUUUUAAACAUUGGUUAUGCAACAAUCUGUCUUUAAAGUCUGUGUCCUCCUGGCAGGACCUUUGAAACGAGCUGCCACGGAGAUAAAGAGAUUUGCAGGCAACAAGCAGGUAUGCAAACUGUUUAAUAGUGAUAAAAAACACCCAAACGGCUGCAGCAGCAUAUCAGAGCCGAAAAAGCAUUAGUGAGGAUUUUGUGAGAAUUUAAUUCCAUCAAGGGACACAUUUCUCAAUUACUCCCCUGUUAAACCUUCACAUACUGUAGUGUGUAUUUGUACAUAUGUAUGAUAUGUAAUUUAUGUUAUUUUGAUUUUUUGGAUGCCUUUAAAAGUAUGUUGUUUUCUGGUGCACAUUUCUCCUAAACCGCUGCAUAAUGUCUGUGUGUGAUGUUUUCAGCAAUGAUAAACUAUUGAUUAUUCCAUCCACAAAGCAUUUCUGAAGUAAAAGGACUCUGCUGUGGGCUAAUGAGUUUGCGUAUGAAGAGGAGUAGCAGCAGCUGUGGUAGCAACGGUUAGUUAAAUCUGCUGGUUUGUACAUAUCAGGAUAAACUGCUUGAGAUGCCUGAGGUGCAGUGCAGCAGCAGUACGGUUGAGCAAAAGAGCAGCAACAACACAGGGAGCUUAAAUAGAUCAUCAUAGUACAAAAGCUGCUCUUAAUAUGUCACAUGUUAUAGCUAGUGGACUAUGAUAAAGGAGUGUAGCAGCUGCAGGAGCAGUCUCAGUGGGAGCAUUGACUAAAGGGACUUUGUAUUUCACGUUGCAAAAGGGAAAUCCAAACUAAUAUUUAGGAAAUUACAUGUUAUAUCAAAA
This is a long non-coding RNA of Amphiprion ocellaris (clown anemonefish), 1542 nucleotides long. The record is from Ensembl. Lineage: Eukaryota; Metazoa; Chordata; Actinopteri; Pomacentridae.